GUGUCGUGAGAUGGUGGGUUAGUCCCGCAACGAGCGCAACCCGUGUCCUUAGUUUGCCCAUUCAGGUUUUCGGCUGGGCACUUAGGGAGACUGCCGGUGAUAAACCGGAGGAAGGUGGGGAUGACGUCAAGUCAUCAUGGCCCUUACGUCCCGGGCUACACACGUGCUACAAUGGCCGGUACAGUGGGCUGCGAACUCGCGAGAGUGAGCGAAUCCCAAAAAACCGGUCUCAGUUCGGAUUUGGAGUCUGCAACUCACUCCAUGAAGUCGGAUCGCUAGUAUCGCGAUCAGCAGCCGCGGUGAUA
Molecule: ribosomal RNA, 305 nt
Filed under: uncultured bacterium
Lineage: Bacteria
Description: bacterial SSU rRNA
Rfam family: Bacterial small subunit ribosomal RNA
Source: RNAcentral